GUGGGGAAUAUUGGACAAUGGGCGCAAGCCUGAUCCAGCCAUGCCGCGUGAGUGAUGACGGCCUUAGGGUUGUAAAGCUCUUUCGCCAGGGACGAUAAUGACGGUACCUGGAUAAGAAGCCCCGGCUAACUUCGUGCCAGCAGCCGCGGUAAUACGAAGGGGGCUAGCGUUGUUCGGAAUCACUGGGCGUAAAGCGCACGUAGGCGGAUCUUUAAGUCAGGGGUGAAAUCCCGAGGCUCAACCUCGGAACUGCCUUUGAUACUGGGGAUCUCGAGUUCGGGAGAGGUGAGUGGAACUGCGAGUGUAGAGGUGAAAUUCGUAGAUAUUCGCAAGAACACCAGUGGCGAAGGCGGCUCACUGGCCCGAUACUGACGCUGAGGUGCGAAAGCGUGGGGAGCAAACAGGAUUAGAAACCCCUGUAGUCC
RNAcentral lists this ribosomal RNA (425 nucleotides) under uncultured Methylocystaceae bacterium. RNAcentral describes it as "bacterial SSU rRNA". It matches the Rfam family "Bacterial small subunit ribosomal RNA", at positions 354 to 796 of the family's 1533-position model. The record is from RNAcentral. Lineage: Bacteria; Pseudomonadati; Pseudomonadota; Alphaproteobacteria; Hyphomicrobiales; Methylocystaceae.